CAAUCACAUUUAUGAAGAUGUUAUUAAGACCAUAUCCUGUCACUUUGGUUAUUUCCAACUGUUCUUCUGAAAACCCACAGCUGUAGUUGCCUGAAUGGUUCAUAUCUAUUCUCUCCAUUUUAAAGGAGGUGUCUUGUUGAUUGAACUGUUUUUUCCAAUCAAUAGCUUUGCCAUUUUUAAACAGAUAUAAAUGAACUGCCUUUACUGUAAGGCCAAAUGUGCUGCAAGUAACCUCCAGUCUUCCACCUUCUGGUACUUCUUUAUUUUCACAGAAAAUCUUAGCUUGAUGAAUCGUUUGACCUGAGAAGGAAAGAAGUUCGGGACAUUUUCAUCCUGAUAAGUACAAUAGUACAUUUACUGAGUUGUUCAUUAAGUGUAUUAAUGGAACAUACCUUGACAUUUAAGGAAUAGAUUCACUGAGAUAUCUAAAAACAAUAAUCCAUUUUUUUUAAACCAACACUACCAGCAUUUGUGUAGAUUUCAUUUAUUGAUCAUUAAUGAUAGAUUUUGUAAUUUCAGUACUUACAUGCAAAAAGAAGCACACCGACCAUGGCUGCUAAGAUUUCUAUCACUUUCUCUGCACAAAAUAAUUGAGUUUCUCGUAGCUUGUGACCAAUAUGCUGUUACGGGUUCUCUGCACUAGUGUGAACAGAAUAAGGCAGUGCUUUCACUAAAGUACAAUAAUAGUCAUGCUGUGAAGGCGUUCUGAAUGCGGAAACACUGUCAAACAGUGCUAACAGAUUUUUUACAUACACGGUAUUUUACAUAUAUUCGAGUAGAACUACAAAUAUUUGCACAACAAUAUUCACCACUCACAUUGGAUUUUUCUGAUGAAUAAUCAUUAUUCCUCAACAUACAUUUCAAAACACUUAAAUAGCAAAUAGUUAAUGUCCUUUUGACUGCUAUAUGAAUCCACUACUGAUCCACACACAAUUAUUCACAUUCUAUGUUUGUUUUUUGAAAGUGAUAAUUUCUUACAUAGUAACAAUAACAGUCAUGUGAUCUGUAGAUAGAGAGUUGUUGCAGAGUGAAACGAAGACAAGAAAAUUAAAACAAGGUAUACAGUAUGUCAGCGUGUGGUAUUUUUCACAUCCAACACACAAACCACAGUGACUCUUUAACCACAUAAAUUAAUAGUGUGCUAGUAGUUCAGAUGCUGUCAAAACAAUGUAGUUUUCCAGUAACAUGCAAAACUUUCCAUGAUUAGAAGGAUGUUGCAAAAUUAAACAUUUUAAUGUCACUUUUGUAUUGCAAAUGCAACUUCGCUGAGUGAGCUGAAGCAAUAAAUAAAAUAAUUCUAUUCUUCUAUUUGUCUAUUUAUUCAUGCUAAAUGGUCCUCUCUCAGUCAUGCUACUCACAAAAUGUGCUUAGAUCCUAACUUGUGAAGGUAUAUGGUUUAGCGACACUUAGAGGUCAAAAGCAGCAAAUGCACGUUGCUGCAUUAAUGGUGACAACAACUGCAAUUAGGGCUGUCACGAUAUUAGAUUUUUCAUAUCACGGUUAUUGUGGCCAUAAGAAUUCACGGUAUCGAUAUAUCUUGAUGUCUAUAGAAACCUGGGGGGGGGUCAUAGUAUCAGUCACAUUAUUU
Cyprinus carpio carpio is the source of this 1588-nucleotide long non-coding RNA. Lineage: Eukaryota; Metazoa; Chordata; Actinopteri; Cypriniformes; Cyprinidae. The record is from Ensembl.